This is a long non-coding RNA of Erinaceus europaeus (western European hedgehog), 341 nucleotides long. RefSeq lists it as uncharacterized. The record is from RefSeq and is a predicted model, not a curated record. The transcript is spliced from 2 exons. Lineage: Eukaryota; Metazoa; Chordata; Mammalia; Eulipotyphla; Erinaceidae.
GGGCCUGGAGAGCUUCUGGAUCCUGCAGAUAGAGCUCCUUCGCAUCUGAGACUCUUCCAUGACAAUCUCAGAGUCUGGUGUGUGCACACCUGGACAUCCUCUGCUUGCUGUGAGACGCCCCAGGAGUAAUUUUCUUAGCAGAAUCCAAAAGGUUUCUCUGCCUUCUGGAAGGGAUGCCUUGAAUUAUUCAACCUGCAGCACAGAUCUCUGGAGAACAUCCCCUUGUGGCUACUUUAAUCACUGGGAAGGUUCAGAGUCAGUUAUAAUCAAGCCGAAGUCAACGUGGAAAUGUUCCUCUCUGGCUUGAAAACAAGAUCAAAAGGGAGCCCAAGGAGGAGGAG